Hippocampus comes (tiger tail seahorse) is the source of this 886-nucleotide long non-coding RNA. RefSeq lists it as uncharacterized. The record is from RefSeq and is a predicted model, not a curated record. The transcript has 2 exons. NCBI's taxonomy places the organism in Eukaryota, Metazoa, Chordata, Actinopteri, Syngnathiformes, Syngnathidae.
AAUAGAACUAAUUAUCAAGAAACAUGAAGUUGAUCACUUUAUUUGCUUUAUUGGGUCACCAAAAAAUUUGAUGGACGGGAAAUGGCACCCUGUCUUUUGAGUUUGACACCUGUGAUUUAGCAUGUGCUCUUAAAAAGAUUGUUCCCUUAAAUGUUAGACAGUUUGUGUUGCUGUAAAUGGAAAACCCGGGACAGGCAGGUAACCUUACUGAAAAGACCUGUGUGUGUGUGUGUGUGUGUCUCCAUUGCUGUCUCGCCACCUCAUUCCACAGACAGGUGAUUAAUAAACAUUAAACAAUCCCUCCUCUCUCAAACACACCGGAAUCUUCUUGACGGGAAGAGCAGCAUAUGUUUGCCUGCAGGCACACACACGGAGAUGGAGAGCGGCCCUGCUGAGUGUCAGAUAAGGGGCGGGAGACGGCGGUGUUGGGGGGGGGGCAGAGUGGGUGAUGGAGGAGGAGAGCGGAGGUUAGGUUACUGAGAGGAGUAAUGAGAUGGGAGGAGAGCAAGAGAGAUAAGACAGGUAUUUGAGAGGAUGUGUGCGGCCCCGGGAAAGCUGGAAUAGCGUUUGGUGGACCAGGAGAGCUGGUCCAUGGGAAGUAAGUCACGCACAAACAGAUGGUUGAAUCUGAGUUGUUUGGCUUAUUGGACAUUGGGGGUCAAACCUCUGCAUGGGCUCACCCCCGUCAUUGUGUUCAAGGCUGCAGAUGGAGCGGAGCCCCCUGGAGUCUAUUUUAGGCCCCCUUAAUUUUACCAUAGUCACCAUGUUAAGAGAUUUUUAACCAAGGUUAGCACAGUUUGAUGCCGACAGGAGGGCGAAGUUCCAUGAUCCAUCUGUAGCGUUUGUCUUGAAUGUUGAACUGCGGGGAAUCAUGUUAAGAAGGCAC